RNAcentral lists this ribosomal RNA (474 nucleotides) under uncultured bacterium. RNAcentral describes it as "SSU rRNA". It matches the Rfam family "Bacterial small subunit ribosomal RNA", at positions 26 to 521 of the family's 1533-position model. The record is from RNAcentral.
AGAACGAACGCUGGCGGCAUGCCUAACACAUGCAAGUCGAACGCUCCUGGGGCUUCGGUCUCAGGGGAGUGGCGCACGGGUGAGUAGCGCGUGGGAACCUGCCCUGUUGUGGGGGAUAACCGAGGGAAACUUCGGCUAAUACCGCAUAAGCCGGUUGUCUUGAAAGAGAUGACCGGGAAAGAUUUAUCGCGACAGGAGGGGCCCGCGUCGGAUUAGCUAGUUGGUGGGGUAACGGCCCACCAAGGCAGUGAUCCGUAGCUGGUCUGAGAGGAUGAUCAGCCACACUGGGACUGAGACACGGCCCAGACUCCUACGGGAGGCAGCAGUGGGGAAUAUUGGACAAUGGGCGCAAGCCUGAUCCAGCAAUGCCGCGUGAGUGAUGAAGGCCUUAGGGUUGUAAAGCUCUUUCGCCCGCGACGAUGAUGACGGUAGCGGGAGAAGAAGCCCGGCUAACUUCGCGCCAGCAGCCGCGGU